GCCAGUGUGAGGUAGUGGUUUGAGUGUUGGACUAAGACUCUGAAUAUCCAAGGUUCAAAUCCCUGUUUUACCA
Non-coding RNA from Phrynosoma platyrhinos (Desert horned lizard), 73 nucleotides. The record is from the annotation of a GenBank genome assembly. Lineage: Eukaryota; Metazoa; Chordata; Lepidosauria; Squamata; Phrynosomatidae.